GGUGUGUGGAAUAUUUGGACAAUGGGCGCAAGCCUGAUCCAGCCAUGCCGCGUGUGUGAAGAAGGCCUUCGGAUUGUAAAGCUCUUUCAGUUGGGAAGAAAGGGACGAAAUUAAUACCUUGCUGUUUUGAUAAUUCCGAGCCAACAACCACCGGCUUACUUCGUGCCAGCAGCCGCGGUAAUAAAA
This 186-nucleotide ribosomal RNA is filed under the name uncultured Pseudomonas sp. Its description in RNAcentral is "partial 16S ribosomal DNA". It matches the Rfam family "Bacterial small subunit ribosomal RNA", at positions 351 to 528 of the family's 1533-position model. Lineage: Bacteria; Pseudomonadati; Pseudomonadota; Gammaproteobacteria; Pseudomonadales; Pseudomonadaceae. The record is from RNAcentral.